Long non-coding RNA from Uranotaenia lowii, 395 nucleotides. RefSeq lists it as uncharacterized. The transcript is spliced from 3 exons. NCBI's taxonomy places the organism in Eukaryota, Metazoa, Arthropoda, Insecta, Diptera, Culicidae. The record is from RefSeq and is a predicted model, not a curated record.
ACUUUACAAAAUGGCGAAGAAGCAUGUCAUACAUCAGCUCAAGGAGCAAACUUUUCUAGAUACUCGAUUUGAUGGUCACCUAAAUAUCUAUUUUGAGGCCUUCUAUGUGCCUAGCUGCUUCUAAGCCGAAAUUUCAAGGAAUGACGACCAAACCAGAAUAGUGCACUACUGCAUCGAAUUAAGCAUCGGAGUAUAAAAAUUUCAAGCUCGGUUUUCCAAGUGGUUUCCCGGAAAUCGACACUUUCAAAAAUGUCGACGGGCAAGAGCCCCUGGAUGCAAAGGACGUUGUACGAUAACUCCUACUCCAGCUGCAACACCAUGUCGGUUUCUAUUCUGUGGCAAAUGGAAGUAAUUCGAAGUAAGUUGUUCCGGGAACUGUCCCUGUGUGGAGCCAA